CAGAGAGUAGUUUAUUAUAAAAUAUUAAUUUUGGGAAUUAAAGACGGAAGAAUAUCUUUUUUCUCUGA
Molecule: transfer RNA, 68 nt
Filed under: Lyreidus brevifrons
Lineage: Eukaryota; Metazoa; Arthropoda; Malacostraca; Decapoda; Lyreididae
Description: tRNA-Pro
Source: RNAcentral